GGCGGAUGAGCCAAGGG
This 17-nucleotide transfer RNA is filed under the name Senegalia roemeriana. RNAcentral describes it as "partial tRNA-His". The record is from RNAcentral. Lineage: Eukaryota; Viridiplantae; Streptophyta; Magnoliopsida; Fabales; Fabaceae.